UACGUAGGUGGCAAGCGUUGUCCGGAAUUAUUGGGCGUAAAGCGCGCGUAGGCGGCUUUGCAAGUCGGUUGUGAAAUCACCAGGCUUAACCUGGGAACUGCAUCCGAGACUGCAUUGCUAGAGUAUGGGAGAGGGAAGUGGAAUUUCCGGUGUAGCGGUGAAAUGCGUAGAUAGCGGAAGGAACAUCAGUGGCGAAAGCGACUUCUUGGACCAAUACUGACGCUCAUGUGCGAAAGCGUGGGGAGCAAACAGG
RNAcentral lists this unclassified non-coding RNA (253 nucleotides) under uncultured Gammaproteobacteria bacterium. RNAcentral's name for it is "contains 16S-23S intergenic spacer region". It matches the Rfam family "Bacterial small subunit ribosomal RNA", at positions 524 to 776 of the family's 1533-position model. Lineage: Bacteria; Pseudomonadati; Pseudomonadota; Gammaproteobacteria. The record is from RNAcentral.